RNAcentral lists this small nuclear RNA (108 nucleotides) under Propithecus coquereli (Coquerel's sifaka). The record is from RNAcentral. Lineage: Eukaryota; Metazoa; Chordata; Mammalia; Primates; Indriidae.
GUGCUCACUUUGGCAGCACAUAUACUAAAAAUGGGCACGAUACAGAGAAGAAUAGCAUGGCCCCUGUGCAAGGAUGACAUGCAAACUCGUGAAGAAUUUCACAUUAAA